CACCUCCAGUUUCUUUACCCCUCCGAUCUAAAUAUUGGUCUGCAUGACUUAAAAAGGAAGAAAAGUAAAACUGAAGUGAACUUGGAUUUUUCAAUGACAUACAAGGUCAUUUCAAACAUAA
Molecule: small nucleolar RNA, 121 nt
Filed under: Echinops telfairi (small Madagascar hedgehog)
Lineage: Eukaryota; Metazoa; Chordata; Mammalia; Afrosoricida; Tenrecidae
Description: Small nucleolar RNA SNORA61 (ENSETEG00000026557.1)
Source: RNAcentral